UACGAACCGUCCAAACGUUAUUCGGAAUUAUUGGGCUUAAAGGGUAUGUAGGCGGCGCUGUUAGUCGGGUGUGAAAUCCCUCGGCUCAACCGAGGAAUUGCGCCCGAAACUGCAGUGCUUAGGGAGACAGAGGUAAGCGGAACUGAUGGUGGAGCGGUGAAAUGCGUUGAUAUCAUCAGGAACACCGGUGGCGAAAGCGGCUCACUGGAUCGCGGCUGACGCUGAGGCACGAAAGCGAGGGGAGCGAACGGG
This 252-nucleotide ribosomal RNA is filed under the name uncultured bacterium. RNAcentral describes it as "partial 16S ribosomal RNA". It matches the Rfam family "Bacterial small subunit ribosomal RNA", at positions 524 to 776 of the family's 1533-position model. The record is from RNAcentral.